CUUUAGCUAGACAACAGAAAUAUCAGUCGACAUUGAACGGUAUCUUAAAUCCAUUGUUUUAUUGAUCAAUAUUUUCAAUGUUUACUGUUAUGUUCGUUAUAAUGUAUUAUAUCUGACUGUAAAGACACGAAGUAUUUAUUUUCUCGAUUGUCCUUCACGAAGUACCUGCGUACAGAUGACGUUCGUCCUGAAGAGGAACUCUCUAGCUUUUGUCUCGAUAACAGCUCUGCUUCACCAUCGAAAUGUUUACAGUUAGGACGGACAGCACUCCCGCGGAGUUGCGUGGGCUGCAUCAGUGAAACAGACUAUAAUUUAUCAAUUUAUCGGCCCACACAUCUUCAAGUGGCGAAGCCGCUGCCUAGGAAAUGGGCCGCCAUUUUGACGCUACUGCACGCGCGUUGCUGGCGUAGAGUGCGUUCAGCUGUGAGUGCGCCCUUGUGCAGGAUAGCCGUUCGCGCUGAAUAUAGAGUGUGGAGAUCUUCAUCGUGCGUACUUGGUACUGAACGUGUCUAAGACAUGCUAAGCAGGAGUGUGCUGCGGCAGCAAGUCGAAGAUGGAAGGCCAUGGACAACAAAGUAGCCCAGUGAAUAUUGUUACUCGGACAGAACAUGCUUGCUCAUGAUAGGUGACUGAUGAGCAGAUAUUUUCUCCAGAGAGUUGAAAAAUGGGCAACACUUCGUCGUCUGUGGUGGCCUCCACUGUGAAAAAUCAAGGUGAUGUCGGGGCCAGAGAGCUGUACCGCUUGGUGGGUCUUGGCGACAAUGGAGAGCUGGUCAGACUGACCAAGCUGGCCCGCUGGACCAAAAACUACAGCCAGCUUGACCAGGCCAUACAGAAGGAAGUUCCACAGUUUCUGUACAAUGAUGGUGAAGGCAGGAAGGUGCCAAUCGCGGAACUGGUCAAGAUACGCAACAAGGAUCGAGAAACCAGCAUGAAAAUCAGCAAAGAUCGACAGAAGAAAGCGAAUGAACUGGCACUGAUCGAUAUGCUAACACAGCAGGAUGCAGAGGCAGGAGGGUAUCAGCACAGCAAACCAGCUGAAAGAAUGUACAGAGAAGUUUGCUGGGACCUCGACAAGCGAGGAACUGUAGGGGAGACAAUUCUUCAUCUUUGUCUGCUAAAUGCCACUCAGAUUCAUGCUGAUUUAGCCAAGCGUUUACUUCAGUUUUACCCAAAACUCAUCAAUGAUAUUUAUGUUGGUGAAGAAUACUAUGGGGAAACGAUACUUCACAUUGCCAUUGUUAAUGAGGACCCAGCCAUGGUAAAGUUUCUCCUCGACAAUGGAGCUGACGUUCAUGCCAGAGCUUGCGGAAACUUUUUUUGCCCUGAUGACCAGAAAGAUUCCCGAACAGACAGCUUGGAUCACGAGUGGGUGUCCGUAUGUGAAAAUACCAAUUAUGAAGGUUUUGUCUACUGGGGAGAGUAUCCUCUAAGCUUUGCUGCAUGUCUUGGGCAAGAGGAAUGUGUACGCCUUAUGCUUGCUAAAGGAGCUGAUCCAAGUCUACAAGACACAAAUGGAAACACUGUAUUGCAUUUGCUUGUCAUCCAUGAUAAGAAAAAAGAUGGACCAUCAGAAGAGCAGCACAUGUUUGAUCUGAUUCUUAGUCAUGGCGGAAGACUUGACAUCAAGAAUCGACAAGGGCUAACGCCUUUAACUUUGGCUGCAAAACUAGCUCGCAAAGAAAUGUAUGAGCACAUCCUGGAAAAAGAGAGGCAGGUUUACUGGAUUUAUGGAAAUGUGACCUGCGCAGGUUAUCCCCUCACCCACAUUGAUACCAUCUCGCCUACAGGGGAGAUCAACACAGACUCAGCGUUGAAUAUUAUUGUUUAUGGAGGAGACGAAAGUCAUCUGGACAUGAUGGAUGGAUUGAUAGUUAAUUUGCUGAUGGACAAGUGGAAAACAUUUGCUCGUUUCAGAUUCUACAGACGCUUUGUGGCAUUUGUCGUGUACUUUGUCAUGUUUGUGAUUGCCUUUGCUUUGCGGCCUGCUCAUGAUCCCUGUGAAAGCAAAAAUGAAACAGAAAGCAUGAGUACCUGUUCCCAAGAAGACAGUGAGAACAGCACAUUGAAUCCAUGCUACUUGCUUCAGCCUUACAGAGAUGAAGACAUUGCACGACUAGUGUUGGAGGCAUGUGUUCUGCUGGGUGCAGUUGUGUAUCUGUUCCUUGCCAUGAAGGAGAUCCAUCACCAAGGCUUCCACAUCUUUUUUUGCACCUUGAGUGGAGCCCCUGGAAAAGCACUUCUGUUGUUGUCCUGUGUGUUUGUGGUGAUGAUGUUGCCAGGACGAGCAUUCUGUGCUCAUGUUUAUGAAGAUGUGAUGGGUGUUUUGGCCAUUUUGACAACAGCACCCUACUUUCUUUUCUUCUGCAGAGGCUUCCGCAUGGUAGGUCCAUCUGUGUACAUGAUCUACAAGAUGGUGAAAGGUGACUUGCUGAGGUUCUUCAUCAUCUAUGUUGUAAUUGUGAUUGGAUUUUCUCAAGAUUAUGUUUGUGGUAUACAUGAUAAUGGCUACCCUUUUACUGAUCAACAUGUUAAUUGCUAUGAUGGGCAACACCUACGAGCUUGUCACAAACACACAGAAAGAAUGGUUCCGACAGUGGGCAAGAAUCGUGCUGAUGAUGGAACUGAGUGUAACACCCUCUCAUCGACUACAGCAGCAAAUGAAGUAUUCACAACCCAUGGAUGGUAACAAGCGAGCUUUUGUUGUCCGUUGGCACCAGACGGAUGCAGAGAAAGAAGAACUUGUGAAAGUCCGUCUACAGAACAAGAUUCAACAGCGUUUCAUGGCACAGAAGAAAAAUACCUUGCGUAUAUUGAACAAGACCCAGCGUAAAAUCAAGGCAGCAACCAUGAUGCUCAAGCCAU
RNAcentral lists this unclassified non-coding RNA (2865 nucleotides) under Pomacea canaliculata. RNAcentral's name for it is "transient receptor potential cation channel subfamily V member 5-like, transcript variant X2". Lineage: Eukaryota; Metazoa; Mollusca; Gastropoda; Architaenioglossa; Ampullariidae. The record is from RNAcentral.